AAUUCUCAACCCCUUCAGCUUUUGUGGCUUUAUGGGGCUUGGAUGUGGAGGUCUUUUGCGGGCCCUUUUUGCUGGGUCGGCUCCUCUGAAAUGCAUUAGCGGAACCGUUUGCGAUCCGUCACAGGUGUGAUAAUUAUCUACGCCAGUGGGUCGCUCUCUGUCUUGUUCAGCUACCAACCGUCCGCAAGGACAACACCAAUUACUGAAC
This 208-nucleotide unclassified non-coding RNA is filed under the name Leucocoprinus leucothites. RNAcentral describes it as "Leucoagaricus leucothites partial internal transcribed spacer 2". The record is from RNAcentral. Lineage: Eukaryota; Fungi; Basidiomycota; Agaricomycetes; Agaricales; Agaricaceae.